UUAAGCGACUAAGCGUACACGGUGGAUGCCCUGGCAGUCAGAGGCGAUGAAGGACGUGCUAAUCUGCGAUAAGCGUCGGUAAGGUGAUAUGAACCGUUAUAACCGGCGAUUUCCGAAUGGGGAAACCCAGUGUGAUUCGUCACACUAUCAUUAACUGAAUCCAUAGGUUAAUGAGGCGAACCGGGGGAACUGAAACAUCUAAGUACCCCGAGGAAAAGAAAUCAACCGAGAUUCCCCCAGUAGCGGCGAGCGAACGGGGAGCAGCCCAGAGCCUGAAUCAGUGUGUGUGUUAGUGGAAGCGUCUGGAAAGGCGCGCGAUACAGGGUGACAGCCCCGUACACAAAAAUGCACAUGCUGUGAGCUCGAUGAGUAGGGCGGGACACGUGGUAUCCUGUCUGAAUAUGGGGGGACCAUCCUCCAAGGCUAAAUACUCCUGACUGACCGAUAGUGAACCAGUACCGUGAGGGAAAGGCGAAAAGAACCCGGCGAGGGGAGUGAAAAAGAACCUGAAACCGUGUACGUACAAGCAGUGGGAGCACGCUUAGGCGUGUGACUGCGUACCUUUUGUAUAAUGGGUCAGCGACUUAUAUUCUGUAGCAAGGUUAACCGAAUAGGGGAGCCGAAGGGAAACCGAGUCUUAACUGGGCGUUAAGUUGCAGGGUAUAGACCCGAAACCCGGUGAUCUAGCCAUGGGCAGGUUGAAGGUUGGGUAACACUAACUGGAGGACCGAACCGACUAAUGUUGAAAAAUUAGCGGAUGACUUGUGGCUGGGGGUGAAAGGCCAAUCAAACCGGGAGAUAGCUGGUUCUCCCCGAAAGCUAUUUAGGUAGCGCCUCGUGAAUUCAUCUCCGGGGGUAGAGCACUGUUUCGGCAAGGGGGUCAUCCCGACUUACCAACCCGAUGCAAACUGCGAAUACCGGAGAAUGUUAUCACGGGAGACACACGGCGGGUGCUAACGUCCGUCGUGAAGAGGGAAACAACCCAGACCGCCAGCUAAGGUCCCAAAGUCAUGGUUAAGUGGGAAACGAUGUGGGAAGGCCCAGACAGCCAGGAUGUUGGCUUAGAAGCAGCCAUCAUUUAAAGAAAGCGUAAUAGCUCACUGGUCGAGUCGGCCUGCGCGGAAGAUGUAACGGGGCUAAACCAUGCACCGAAGCUGCGGCAGCGACACUAUGUGUUGUUGGGUAGGGGAGCGUUCUGUAAGCCUGUGAAGGUGUACUGUGAGGUAUGCUGGAGGUAUCAGAAGUGCGAAUGCUGACAUAAGUAACGAUAAAGCGGGUGAAAAGCCCGCUCGCCGGAAGACCAAGGGUUCCUGUCCAACGUUAAUCGGGGCAGGGUGAGUCGACCCCUAAGGCGAGGCCGAAAGGCGUAGUCGAUGGGAAACAGGUUAAUAUUCCUGUACUUGGUGUUACUGCGAAGGGGGGACGGAGAAGGCUAUGUUGGCCGGGCGACGGUUGUCCCGGUUUAAGCGUGUAGGCUGGUUUUCCAGGCAAAUCCGGAAAAUCAAGGCUGAGGCGUGAUGACGAGGCACUACGGUGCUGAAGCAACAAAUGCCCUGCUUCCAGGAAAAGCCUCUAAGCAUCAGGUAACAUCAAAUCGUACCCCAAACCGACACAGGUGGUCAGGUAGAGAAUACCAAGGCGCUUGAGAGAACUCGGGUGAAGGAACUAGGCAAAAUGGUGCCGUAACUUCGGGAGAAGGCACGCUGAUAUGUAGGUGAAGUCCCUCGCGGAUGGAGCUGAAAUCAGUCGAAGAUACCAGCUGGCUGCAACUGUUUAUUAAAAACACAGCACUGUGCAAACACGAAAGUGGACGUAUACGGUGUGACGCCUGCCCGGUGCCGGAAGGUUAAUUGAUGGGGUCAGCGCAAGCGAAGCUCUUGAUCGAAGCCCCGGUAAACGGCGGCCGUAACUAUAACGGUCCUAAGGUAGCGAAAUUCCUUGUCGGGUAAGUUCCGACCUGCACGAAUGGCGUAAUGAUGGCCAGGCUGUCUCCACCCGAGACUCAGUGAAAUUGAACUCGCUGUGAAGAUGCAGUGUACCCGCGGCAAGACGGAAAGACCCCGUGAACCUUUACUAUAGCUUGACACUGAACAUUGAGCCUUGAUGUGUAGGAUAGGUGGGAGGCUUUGAAGUGUGGACGCCAGUCUGCAUGGAGCCGACCUUGAAAUACCACCCUUUAAUGUUUGAUGUUCUAACGUGGACCCGUAAUCCGGGUUGCGGACAGUGUCUGGUGGGUAGUUUGACUGGGGCGGUCUCCUCCUAAAGAGUAACGGAGGAGCACGAAGGUUGGCUAAUCCUGGUCGGACAUCAGGAGGUUAGUGCAAUGGCAUAAGCCAGCUUGACUGCGAGCGUGACGGCGCGAGCAGGUGCGAAAGCAGGUCAUAGUGAUCCGGUGGUUCUGAAUGGAAGGGCCAUCGCUCAACGGAUAAAAGGUACUCCGGGGAUAACAGGCUGAUACCGCCCAAGAGUUCAUAUCGACGGCGGUGUUUGGCACCUCGAUGUCGGCUCAUCACAUCCUGGGGCUGAAGUAGGUCCCAAGGGUAUGGCUGUUCGCCAUUUAAAGUGGUACGCGAGCUGGGUUUAGAACGUCGUGAGACAGUUCGGUCCCUAUCUGCCGUGGGCGCUGGAGAACUGAGGGGGGCUGCUCCUAGUACGAGAGGACCGGAGUGGACGCAUCACUGGUGUUCGGGUUGUCAUGCCAAUGGCACUGCCCGGUAGCUAAAUGCGGAAGAGAUAAGUGCUGAAAGCAUCUAAGCACGAAACUUGCCCCGAGAUGAGUUCUCCCUGACUCCUUGAGAGUCCUGAAGGAACGUUGAAGACGACGACGUUGAUAGGCCGGGUGUGUAAGCGCAGCGAUGCGUUGAGCUAACCGGUACUAAUGAACCGUGAGGCUUAACCUU
This 2900-nucleotide ribosomal RNA is filed under the name Escherichia coli. RNAcentral's name for it is "bacterial LSU rRNA". It matches the Rfam family "Bacterial large subunit ribosomal RNA". The record is from RNAcentral. Lineage: Bacteria; Pseudomonadati; Pseudomonadota; Gammaproteobacteria; Enterobacterales; Enterobacteriaceae.